RNAcentral lists this small nuclear RNA (95 nucleotides) under Salvator merianae (Argentine black and white tegu). The record is from RNAcentral. Lineage: Eukaryota; Metazoa; Chordata; Lepidosauria; Squamata; Teiidae.
GUGCCUGCUUCGGCAGCAUAUAUACUAAAAUCGGAAUGAUACCAUGGCCCCUGCACAAGGAUGACAUGCAAAUCCGUGAAGUGUUCCAUAUUUAA